UCGGGAUAGCUCAGCUGGUARAGCASAGGACUGAAAAUCCUCGUGUCAC
Molecule: transfer RNA, 49 nt
Filed under: Billolivia minutiflora
Lineage: Eukaryota; Viridiplantae; Streptophyta; Magnoliopsida; Lamiales; Gesneriaceae
Description: partial tRNA-Phe
Source: RNAcentral